Esox lucius (northern pike) is the source of this 3823-nucleotide long non-coding RNA. NCBI's taxonomy places the organism in Eukaryota, Metazoa, Chordata, Actinopteri, Esociformes, Esocidae. The record is from Ensembl.
CAAGCAAGAGGGACCGUCAAAAGCCCAACACAAGCAACUUCUUGCUGCCAACGAAGCCCAAAAAAGCUAAGUUUUUUUUUACUAACACACUUAAGUUACGUUCAAAUUCAGCGAAAAUACAAAAAUAAAUGUCUGUCUUAAAGGUGGAAUUACAUUUCAAACCACAUAGGCAGUAGAUCAGCUUUUAUUUAAACUCGUUCUCAGUUAUGUGCCUGAUGGCGAAAAUAAUGCACAAGCCCGUUUAUCAAUCCGCGCUUUUGUCCGUUCUUCUGUUCUCGUGAAUUUGAUUGACGUCAUCUUUCAUGGCCCAAGUACUGUUCCAAUCCAAAGAAUGCAAGUUACCAAGAACGCCUAAAAUGCCGAGAAGGGUCCAACUGCAGCUUGCAGCAGUCGCUCACGCCAGGCCCCCUGCUCACGCCGCGCCCGCGCACGCCGCGCCCCCGCUGGCACGCAACUUCCGACUUUCAGACAUGUACGGUUUGUUUACAAGACGCAGAUGGACCAUAUUGCCAUAUUGAGUCAUGGCGGCAACAACUCCCGGGAAGCACCUGUGACUUAGCUCAUCACAUUGCUCUGGGCCAGUGGGCAACUAAAUUUGGCAAAGACAUUGAGGUGCAUCUCUCCAACCACGGUUUCCCUCAUCAAACUACUGUACAUUCUUGUGGCAUCUUAAUGUUGAUGUAUGCACUCAGCCUGAGCACAGAGGCUCCAUUUUGGUUCAUGGAGAGGGACAUGGCACGCAUCUGAAAAUGGUGGUGCAUUAGUCUAAUGGAACGGUUCCAGAUUGACGGGUAAGACAACUCUAAAUGUUACUUCCUACAAUACAUUGCUUCUACAUUAGUUUACUUUUUUUAUUAUUUUACUAAUAUCUUACUCAAAAGCCAUGGACAGAGGUUUGCAUACUGGACUAAUGAGGCCAGAGCAUUGCUCCAAGGUUCACUGCAGCCGAUAUACAGGGUCCCAAGGUCAGCAAGAGGGAACAUGAGGUUUCGAUUAGAAAAGGAUGACAGGUGCGUCAUAUUGGAGGUAAUGUUUAUUUACUGCUUACACUGUUUACUGGCUAUAUUAGCCAAUAAACAUGGCACAACACCUCCCUUUAUCCUUGCACUAUUGGACUUAUUUGCACUACCACCAUGACACACACUAUAGAGCACCUUAUGCACAAUAAUUGCCCUGUCACUGCAAGAGUCACAUGCUUAUACAUCCCUUAGUACAGUCAUAUCAAUAUCAGGGCAAUGCGUUAUGAUAGAUGUUCUCACCAAUAAUUGUUAGUUUUCAUAUUUCUGCUAUGCUAUGAUUGUUGCCAUUUGUACAGGCAAUAGUGUAGUCAGUGUGUUGUCUUUACUAUGCUUGAUUUUUCCUGACCUGUAUUUUACAGUUACCAACGUGUGUGCUUUCUGAAAUCCUAAAUGAAAUGGUACUACAGGAAGGAGAUAAGGCAUACUUAAGAUUGGCUCUUGUGUGUACCACCUUCAGGGACACUGGCCCUCAUUUAUCAAAAGUGCAUACACCAAAUUUCCAGCGUACACCCAAAACCACGGUGACUUUGAGAUUUAUCAAUAUGGACGUUGGCACUCUCAAAUCCUACGCCAGCUCAGGAGGUGGUGUACGCACGUUCUGAGUUAAUGCGGAAAUGCGCAGGAAAAAAAUCCUAACGCACUGACAAACUAAAAGAUAUGAUAUAUUAUGACCCACUGUAAAAAAAAAACUUCAGUGUUUAGUUUUGUGCAACAUGGACUUCAAUGUUUAAUUUGUGUGACUUUACCAAAGCAUUUGAUUUAUAUGUAUUCCUUCAGAUGCGAGCCUGUGCGCUUUACAUGACGUUUCAGGGUUAGGCCAGGCAGUUGCGCACGGACUGGGUUCAGUAAUAAAAGGCUUUUAAUGACCAAAAUAUAAUUCAGACUGUCAUUUUUAUUAUUUUGUCAUUCUUCUUCUUUUAAAUAAUAAUAAUAAUAAUAAUAAUAAUAAUAAUAAUAAUAAUAGAAAUAGAAAUAAUAAUAAUAACGACAUUCUUCUUCUAAAUAACAAUAAACGUCGUUAAUAAUAAAUAUCAUAAAAUAAUAAGACGACUAUUACAAAUUGUCAUGCAAUUAUUAAUGUGAAUAAAUUGUAUUCCACAUCACAUAAUAAUUUUUUAUUCCGCUUUUUAAACUGCCAAAUGAAACAAUUUUAUUUCUUUCUACCUCCCUGGUGAUCGUCUCAAUCUCCACGUCAGAGAAGUUUCUCUUUUUUGCCGUCUUCCGUGUGUCCAUGGCGUAAAAUGAGGGCGUGGGGGAAGUGGAGACUUGAAUAUAUAGGGGCGUGUUAUUCUAAUGACGGUCGUCUUCAGCUGCGGCAUUUAUCAAGGGCAGGUAUUGCGUACACCUGGAUUUUAAAGGUACGCACAGCUUCAUAAAUCAGGCGGUGAGAGGAGUGUAAGCAAAAUCUUACGCCAACAUAUACACCCGUUUCUACGCAAGAAUGAUAAAUGAGGGCCACUGUGUCCACUCACUCCUUCAGGAGACGGGCACAUUUUCAGUGGCUUGACAGUGUCGCUACAUGGAGCAGGUUUUCUGAGUCCUACAGAAAAGAAUUCUACACCAUGUACACCGUGGACACCUGUCGUGAAUGUGGAAUGCUUUUCAAAAACUGCACACCUGUCUAGCCUGAAGGUUGUUGCCAGACAUCUGCUCAUCUGCACAAUCCUCUGGAUUGUCACCCUCUUCCUCAUGCUGAGGAUGGUCCUCCACAUCCAAGAUGUCGUCCAUAGAGAGACAAAGGUUGUGGAGAAUGCAGCAGGCAGCAACCACCUUGGGGCACAAACAGAGGACGCAUUACCAGAGCCCUCAGAAAGAUGGAUCUCCAACGGGUUUUCAGCAUGCCAAAUGUGCGCUCGAUUACUCACCUUGGUGUGGUGUACGUAGAACCGGGCCUCAUGGUGUAGAAACGUUAUACAGUUGCAUUAUUUGGUAGUGUUGUUAUUUACUGUGUUAUUUAAGUCCACUACCAAGAUCAUCAUGUAUAAGUCUAAGUCUUUGAUCAGUGUUGAAAACAAAGGGUACUUGGUAGUGAUCUCAGACAUUUGGAGCCCACUGUGUGUUUGUGUGUUUUGGCAACCUUGGAUUUAGGUCCAGUAAAUAUCCCAAGCAGCUACAGGCUGUUGAAACGUGGUGAUAACAGCCACGGGAUGCUGCAGGCAUGGAUAUUCACCAUCUUCUGAAAAUAAUUCUGUUUGAUUUUGUUCAAUAAAGUGUUUUAGACCAUUAUUCCACAUUGUGUUGUUUAUAAAUGUUCAUAACUGAAUUCUAAACAUCUUAACUCAUUGUGAAGUGGUUGAUUGUCAUUGCUAUACUGUGUAAUUUGUGCUCUAAGAUGAUUUGGACCUUCUAAAACUGUUCUGAUUCAGACUGUGGAAUUGGAAACAAGCAGUUGCCAGUAGGUAACUCCAGUAAGGCAUUUACUUAAUGAGAUGGUUGGGGUUUCCAUUAAGGUUUUCAACUGAAGUAAAAUGGUUUGGUUACUAUUCCAUCACCUACACUGAGAAAGACCAGUGCCAACAUGAUGUAGCCUUGCCAUCCUCUGUCUCAUUCUGGCCCUCAGGAUUAGGUGCCUUUGCUCAGGGUCCUCCUAUAUAUACAUCUAUCUCUAAUAGGUUGUUUUGACUAUCUUCUACCUCUGCUUUUAAACGCUGGUAGCUCGUUAAUGUGCUUGUGAAAUUCACGAGGUACCAGCGGGAAAAAGCGGAGGAAAAAGAUACGCAACCGAUUGGAUAGAUAGGUUAUAUAGGUAUUAGUUAGACAAAUAUAUCUGUAUAUUGUGGUACAGACAUGCCAAUUCACACGGG